GACAGAGGGUGCAAGCGUUGUUCGGAAUUACUGGGCGUAAAGCGCAUGUAGGCGGCCAAGCAGGUCGGAUGUGAAAUCCCUCGGCUCAACCAAGGAAGUGCAUUCGAAACCGCAUGGCUGGAGUCCCGGAGAGGGUAGUGGAAUUCUCGGUGUAGAGGUGAAAUUCGUAGAUAUCGAGAGGAACACCGGCGGCGAAAGCGGCUACCUGGACGAGGACUGACGCUGAGAUGCGAAAGCGUGGGGAGCAAACAGG
This 253-nucleotide ribosomal RNA is filed under the name uncultured bacterium. RNAcentral describes it as "partial 16S ribosomal RNA". It matches the Rfam family "Bacterial small subunit ribosomal RNA", at positions 524 to 776 of the family's 1533-position model. The record is from RNAcentral.